AAUGAACGCUGGCGGCGUGGAUAAGACAUGCAAGUCGAACGGAGUUAGCAAUAAGCUUGCUUAAGGCAAACUCAGUGGCGAACGGGUGAGUAACACGUGAAUAAUCUGCCUUGAAGUGGGGGAUAGCCCUGGGAAACUAGGAUUAAUACCGCAUGUGGUCGAGAGACUAAAGCAGCAGUGCGCUUUAAGAUGAGUUCACGUCCUAUUAGCUAGUUGGUGAGGUAACUGCUCACCAAGGCCUUGAUAGGUAGCCGGUCUGAGAGGAUGUCCGGCCACACUGGAACUGAGACACGGUCCAGACACCUACGGGUGGCAGCAGUCGAGAAUCAUUCACAAUGGGGGCAACCCUGAUGGUGCGACGCCGCGUGGGGGAAGAAUGUCUUCGGAUUGUAAACCCCUGUCAAGUGGGAGUAAGCUAGUGAUAGUUGAUAGUACCACAAGAGGAAGAGACGGCAAACUCUGUGCCAGCCGCCGCAGUAA
RNAcentral lists this ribosomal RNA (480 nucleotides) under uncultured bacterium. RNAcentral's name for it is "partial 16S ribosomal RNA". It matches the Rfam family "Bacterial small subunit ribosomal RNA", at positions 29 to 523 of the family's 1533-position model. The record is from RNAcentral.